UGUUGGAUUCAAGUGGGUGUGUGGAUCAACUCCACAAAAAUUGGCUGUUGGAGCAGCAGCAAUGGCAGCAAUGGCACAAGCAAGGAAGAA
RNAcentral lists this non-coding RNA (90 nucleotides) under Fragilariopsis kerguelensis. The record is from RNAcentral. Lineage: Eukaryota; Bacillariophyta; Bacillariophyceae; Bacillariales; Bacillariaceae.